Long non-coding RNA from Oreochromis aureus, 1891 nucleotides. Lineage: Eukaryota; Metazoa; Chordata; Actinopteri; Cichliformes; Cichlidae. The record is from Ensembl.
GGAACUUUGGCACACCUCCACUGUAUAAUCUGAAGUUCAGGGCUGUCAACCGCACGGUGACGUCCGCUAGACGCUAUGAGUCAAGACACAAUACGAGGAAAUCCCCAAGGCCGAGAAAACGCUGAGAGGCCCCUUUAAAUCGACGCUUCCUCAACGCCGUGCCAACAGAGAGAGAGAGAGAAAGAGCGCUGAUAAACAACAACACGGUUCUCAGAAGCGGCUUUUACCGAAUUCAGCUCUUACUGCGGCCUCAAAGAAACGAAGUGGACCUGGAUGAUGAGGACUUGGAUGACAUCAUGAACAACAACGGGCAGUGCCCUGUAUCCCUGUCACCCAUCUCCUAAACUUCACCAAGAAGUGCCAAAAAAGAAAACCCCCGGAUCGCCAAACCCACCCCCAUACCCUCUGACAGCGAUCUUGGCCUUGCUCCUGUCAAGUGUCCUACUGAAGCUUCUUCAAGGCUCAAAAACGGCUCAUUUAUCGCCUGUUGAAGCCCUGACUGUGUAUAUAGCGUUUAUUUAACUUAACUUUGGUCAGACUGUGAAUGAAUUCGUAUUGCAUCGCUCUCUACACUAUACCUCGGUAGGUAGUGGACUAUCAGGAUUUAAGAAAGAUUUGAAGGAAGUGUCUAUAUUUUUUCAGAGCUUCUUAUCAAGGGCUACAUUUUAAAAGUUGCACUGAGCAAACGGUUAGAUGACAAGCAUCCUCUCGCCUGCCUAUUUACUGGUGAGGGUUACUGAUUACCCGUGGGCUGCUUGUGUUGGAACACAAGCCUGUUAAUGUGUAUUGGACAGGUGAAUUGUUAAGCUUUGGUUGUGCAAUGACUAUCAUUCUCUACUCUCUCACUGAUCCAAGUGGUGUACUAUUAUCCAGUGGAUGAAAGCUCGCUAGUUGCUUUAAAAAGAAAAAAAAAAAAAAAGAAAAGGGAAAAAAAAAACUAAUGCUAAUAAUUUAUUAUUUAAAAAAUGAGACACUUUGUUGUGAUGUUACGGCAUCUGUUUGGUUUUGGUUUUUUACUUGUUUCUGAGCAGGUAACGCUUCAGUCUGUGAGAUUUUUAUUAUGUUUCCAAAUGGUGCACUUUGUGGGAAUGCCUGUUAUGUGCAGUGACAUGUUGCAGAAUUCUAUGCAUGAAGCAUCAAAACCUGUGACUGGCAUCCUGUUAUUUAAGGGCUACGUAGUAGACUUUGAUAAACCAAACCACCGUUUUGCUCUUCAGAUCUGGUAGAGUCAGCGUUUCCCUGAGCUCAUUGGUGGCUUUGAGCUGCUGACUCGACAGUAAACAACAAUAGCUUCAUAGAGCUUUCUGUGUGUUUCCUAAUGCAGGCUUUUCCAGUUUGGCUACAUGACUGUGAGGACAAAAAAAACAAAAUGUGUACAGUAAAUGACUUUGAUGAAAUUGCCAAAUGAUUCCUGAUGCUACAUCAGAUUGAUGCUUAAAAAAAUUGACUCUGAUUGGCAUGCCGACGUGUAAAAAGUCAAACUUAAUUGUAUUUAUGUUUAUUUAUAAAAAGCACUAAUCUGCUUUGUGAACUACACCCACGUGGUGUGGUAAUGUCUUUCAGGUUUAGGUGAACUAUUGUGUCAGACUUUAUAAUUACAGUGUGAGGUCACAGAAACGAGCACCCUCGCUGCAGAGACAAUCUUUGGAUUUUUUUUUAAGACGGCAGUGGCUCUCUCGGGUUGAGAUGGUGUUGUCUAUAAAAGGCGGCUCAUGUUGAUGUCAUGUUCCUUUUUUUUGCUGGCUGUGAAAUUGUUACUUAAUUUGUUGGCGUCACGGGAGCACUGCACCUCACAGCUUACUCUCUGACUCAAAGAUAGUUGUUUUGAUCUUUGCAUGGAAAUAACUUUUCAUAAAGCAUCCUGGGAAAUAAAACAUGAAUCUUUGUGGAA